GUAUGGGAUUCAGGGGCGUAGCUACCUAAGGCUCGACUAGGCACGUGCCUAUACAUAAAUUUGCCGAUUAUACCCCUUUUGGAAAAAAAAAAUAAAAAAAAAUAAACAUUUUAAUUCUAAUGCGUAUUAUUGCUAAAUUAGGGAACUUGACUCCAGAAAUAGCAGACAAAAUUUACAACUCUUAUCGUGCGGAUUUAGGUGAAAAAACAGUAUUUGAAGAUGAGAUAGCAUGAUGGAAAGCCCGUUGGAGUAUUGAAGACAACAGACCAGAUAGACUUCUUGGUGUCCUUAACGUAACAAACGCCGAUCUGUACCCUUCAGUGUAUAGGAUUAUUUGGAUUUUAUUGACAAUGCCUGUUUCAUCGGCAGCUAGUGAAAGAUCCCUCAGCGCGAUGAGACGCGUCAAAUCCUACCUGAGAUCGACAAUGGGAGACGAGCGAAUUUCAAAUCUAUCUUUUCUUCAUAUCCACCGACACCUCAAUGUGGAUGUUGAUGCGAGUAUAACUGAUUUUAUCGGCAGAAAAAAACCGUCGACUUGACUUUGAGUAAAUGUAUCAUUGUCUUUGUGUAUGAAACUGUAUCUGAAAGUUAUUCAUAAAAGUUCAAAAAUAUAAAAUUUGUUAAACCAAUUUUUGCCGAAAUUUGAGUUAAAAGAUUCGUUCAAAAAAGUUGAAAAUCUUUUCCUUUGAUCCUCUGUGGGCCUUAAUCUAAAACUAGUCUGAUCUACACUGGGCAUAUUGUUUAUUUUUUUUUUCAGAUUUUUGUUUGUACUACGUUAAUUCAGGUGUUAAUGUAAUAUUAUUCAUAAUUCUUCGAACUUUUUUUCAUGAAUAUUAUCAUGAUAAAAACCAGUAAAUAUGAUAUUUUUGUACACAAAAUUAUGCAACUAAAAUGCUGAAAACCGUUUUCCGUCAGGGGGGCUUUGCCCUGAAUCCCCUACCAUGGCUCCGCCCUGGACCUGCAGGGGGCCUUAUGCGGCCCAGACCCUCUGCCGAUUUGUGCCUACAGUUGAUCUGAAACCUAGCUACGCCCC
Molecule: long non-coding RNA, 1033 nt
Filed under: Mytilus galloprovincialis (Mediterranean mussel)
Lineage: Eukaryota; Metazoa; Mollusca; Bivalvia; Mytilida; Mytilidae
Source: RNAcentral